GAUGAACGCUGGCGGCGUGCCUAAUACAUGCAAGUCGAGCGAACAGAUGAGGAGCUUGCUCCUCUGACGUUAGCGGCGGACGGGUGAGUAACACGUGGAUAACCUACCUAUAAGACUGGGAUAACUUCGGGAAACCGGAGCUAAUACCGGAUAAUAUAUUGAACCGCAUGGUUCAAUAGUGAAAGACGGUUUUGCUGUCACUUAUAGAUGGAUCCGCGCCGCAUUAGCUAGUUGGUAAGGUAACGGCUUACCAAGGCAACGAUGCGUAGCCGACCUGAGAGGGUGAUCGGCCACACUGGAACUGAGACACGGUCCAGACUCCUAAGGGAGGCAGCAGUAGGGAAUCUUCCGCAAUGGGCGAAAGCCUGACGGAGCAACGCCGCGUGAGGGAUGAAGGUCUUCGGAUCGUAAAAAUCUGUUAUUAGGGAAGAACAAAUGUGUAAGUAACUAUGCACGUCUUGACGGUACCUAAUCAGAAAGCCACGGCUAACUACGUG
RNAcentral lists this ribosomal RNA (497 nucleotides) under uncultured bacterium. RNAcentral describes it as "partial 16S ribosomal RNA". It matches the Rfam family "Bacterial small subunit ribosomal RNA", at positions 28 to 507 of the family's 1533-position model. The record is from RNAcentral.